AGCGCAGGCGGGAGAUCAAGUCUAUCUUAAAAGUGCGGGGCUCAACCCCGUGAGGGGAUGGAAACUGGUCUUCUUGAGUGCAGGAGAGGAAAGCGGAAUUCCUAGUGUAGCGGUGAAAUGCGUAGAUAUUAGGAGGAACACCAGUGGCGAAGGCGGCUUUCUGGACUGCGACUGACGCUGAGGCUCGAAAGCGUGGGAGCGAACA
Molecule: ribosomal RNA, 205 nt
Filed under: uncultured bacterium
Lineage: Bacteria
Description: partial 16S ribosomal RNA
Rfam family: Bacterial small subunit ribosomal RNA
Source: RNAcentral